Molecule: ribosomal RNA, 465 nt
Filed under: uncultured bacterium
Lineage: Bacteria
Description: partial 16S ribosomal RNA
Rfam family: Bacterial small subunit ribosomal RNA
Source: RNAcentral
CCUACGGGGGGCAGCAGCAGGGAAUCUUCCACAAUGGGCGAAAGCCUGAUGGAGCAACGCCGCGUGGGUGAAGAAGGUCUUCGGAUCGUAAAACCCUGUUGUUAGAGAAGAAAGUGCGUGAGAGUAACUGUUCACGUUUCGACGGUAUCUAACCAGAAAGCACCGGCUAACUACGUGCCAGCAGCCGCGGUAAUACGUAGGUGGCAAGCGUUAUCCGGAUUUAUUGGGCGUAAAGGGAACGCAGGCGGUCUUUUAAGUCUGAUGUGAAAGCCUUCGGCUUAACCGGAGUAGUGCAUUGGAGACUGGGAGACGUGAGUGCAUAAGGGGAGAGUGGAACUCCAUGUGUAGCGGUGAAAUGCGUAGAGAUGUGGAAGAACACCAGUGGCGAAAGCGGCUCUCUGGUAUGUAACUGACGCUGAGGUUCGAAAGCGUGGGUAGCAAACAGGAUUAGAUACCCGGGUAGUC